CUGCUUCUUCUUCGGGAGCGUACUGUAAGCUGACAUUGUCCAUAAUAAUUCUUCCAUGCGCCGGCCAAGUUGGGGGCAUCGGUUUUUCUGAAAGGAAAAAAAAAACUUUGACGAAGGCCGACAAAUUUUCCUAGCGCUCUUCAGCAUUUAAUAUCGGCAGGCAUUAAUUCGCCAGUACUAGCUUCUGAAGAAAACAAGCCACAAAUAUGUUUGUACUCUAUCCGCAUUUAAUAAAGCUAGCAAAAUGGAAUGCAAAUAAGAAAAUAUUGACUCACCAUCUUAUAUUUUUCCGGCUCAAACGGUAAACCGAAAAGUAUGUUUUCCCGGACGGUACUAGGGAAAAGCCACGCCUCUUGGCUGGCGUACGAAACCUUUCCAUAGAUUGAAACUGUGCCAGUGGCCGGAGGCAAUUCCUUUAGAAGCAGUUGCAGAAUUGAAGACUGAAAAACACAAGCAGCAUUGGUUAUCAGGACAUUCCGUUAUAAAAAAAAAUUGCUAUUUUAAUUUAUGAACAUAUGUCCUGACUUUUUGAUAACAUUGUAUGUGUAUAAUAUUUUUUAAUAAAUAAAACUAAAUAGA
Molecule: long non-coding RNA, 579 nt
Organism: Bombyx mori (domestic silkworm)
Lineage: Eukaryota; Metazoa; Arthropoda; Insecta; Lepidoptera; Bombycidae
Exons: 2
Source: RefSeq, a predicted model, not a curated record